Salvia miltiorrhiza (redroot sage) is the source of this 954-nucleotide long non-coding RNA. RefSeq lists it as uncharacterized. Lineage: Eukaryota; Viridiplantae; Streptophyta; Magnoliopsida; Lamiales; Lamiaceae. The transcript has 3 exons. The record is from RefSeq and is a predicted model, not a curated record.
UUUCUCUUCCCCAAUUCCCAAAACCUAAAACCAAUUCCCCUUCCCCGUCUCUCACAUACGCUCUUCUCUCACCCGCCGCAAUUCGCUGUACUUCGGCCUCAACUUGGAGCCGCCGCCCCUCCCUCCGGUCUGCGAUGCGCCACACACCGGCCUCAAGUCGGCGCCGCCGUCCCUCCCUCCAGUACGGCCGAUCUACGAUGUGCUGCAGCUCCGGCCCUCACCAGCUCGCCCCGACCUGUCUCUUUCGAUCGACAACAGCAGUGCCCGACUACGCCGCCCUCACCUAGCCUUUCCACGCCAUGCCUUCUUCGGCCUCGAUGCCUCCGUCCGGCGACGAUAUAAUACAUGGCAUUCAGAGGAGGGGGCCUUAGCGGCCAUAGCCAGGGUCGUGGGCCGCCUAGGGCGAGGGAACUGCCUUUCGAUUAUCUUCCAGAAGAAUUCAAGGCGCUGCCGAAGGCUGGGGAUUUCUCAUAUUCAUGGGCCUCGACAAGUACGAGAACGAGGAGCUCAUCAAAUACGAAUUUCCUGAAGAUAUUUGGGAAAGGAAGGAGAAAAUGAAGAGGAUGAACCCGAAGAGGAAGAAAAUGUAGAAGAAGAAGAACUCAACAAUGACGGUGAUUAUGAGCAGGUAUACAUGUAUAAAGACGACCUGCUUGUGGACAUAUAAAUGGUGGAAACAAGUAAAUGAAGUUUUUGUUACACACUUUAUUUUUUGCUCAUCUAAAAUAUGUCAGCUCAUUUGAUUUGUCUUGCUUCUCUGUAGUUGCUUCGCUAAUGUGGUUCGAUUAAAAGAUUAUAUAUGUCCGGCCACUUGCUGCCCACAUCUUGGGAAAGGCCACAAGCUAGAAUGUAAUUUACUUGAACAUAUCAAUUUGUCCGCGUCCAUCAUACAAAAUUCAAUAACUCGUGUUUGUACUUUAGUAUAUAUUGUUAUACUAUUGACCAUUCCUUCUA